CACCGCGGUUAUACGAGAGACCCAAGUUGAUAGACACCGGCGUAAAGAGUGGUUAAGAUAAACUAAACACUAAAGCCGAACGCCCUCAGAGCUGUUAUACGCAUCCGAAGGUAAGAAGUUCAACCACGAAAGUGGCUUUAUAAUAUCUGAUCCCACGAAAGCUAAGGCA
This 169-nucleotide ribosomal RNA is filed under the name Etelis radiosus (pale snapper). Its description in RNAcentral is "partial 12S ribosomal RNA". Lineage: Eukaryota; Metazoa; Chordata; Actinopteri; Lutjaniformes; Lutjanidae. The record is from RNAcentral.